AUGAAAAAAAAUAAAAAUCACAAAAUCCCUUUGUAACACCCUAACCGUCUCUUCUUCAACCCCAGUCCCCACCAUCCUUCUUCAACCCUAGCCACCUGCAACUAAAGAUUAACACAAUGGUGGUCUGUACCUUUGGAGCUCUAACCCAACUUCGCACCUCGUGGACGACACGCAGGUCGUCACUUCCAUCGAUGAUCAAAGCUGCGAUUUUGAUGCUUGGGCUGAGCCACCCAUGAUCCAAAACCUUGUUGUUAUGAUUCCAGGGCUGUUGGGCACCAUUAACAGACAUUAAGAGAAUGCAAUCAUAAUGAAAAACAUGAACAGAAAUCUUGAAGAACAAGUAAAAAAAUGGCUAAGGAGAACAAGAUGCUUAAAGUGAUCCUAGGGUUCAGUUAGUUCUUAGUCAGGAUGUGGGUUGUGUUAGUUUGGUCUAGGUGAACAAGUAUUGGGCGUUU
RNAcentral lists this long non-coding RNA (455 nucleotides) under Helianthus annuus (common sunflower). RNAcentral describes it as "hypothetical non coding rna". Lineage: Eukaryota; Viridiplantae; Streptophyta; Magnoliopsida; Asterales; Asteraceae. The record is from RNAcentral.